CUGAAGAAAUGGUAGUGGUUGAGCUGACUCUUAGGAGUAUGUGCUCGCUCUAUCGCUUUUUCUACUCUCCACUGUGCACCUAUUGUAGGCUAUGAUAAUUCUCAAAUCUCGCAAGGGUAUUUGGAUAGAAGGCUAUGCAUUCAUUUGCUUGCUUUCAACUUCGUAGCCUAUGUCUAUACAAACUCUUGAUAGUCUUAUGAAUGUCAUAUUGUUGGUCUUUGACCGAUAAAUAACAUA
This 237-nucleotide unclassified non-coding RNA is filed under the name uncultured Clitocybula. RNAcentral describes it as "sequence contains ITS1". Lineage: Eukaryota; Fungi; Basidiomycota; Agaricomycetes; Agaricales; Tricholomataceae. The record is from RNAcentral.